This 465-nucleotide ribosomal RNA is filed under the name Vreelandella stevensii. RNAcentral describes it as "partial 16S ribosomal RNA". It matches the Rfam family "Bacterial small subunit ribosomal RNA", at positions 338 to 795 of the family's 1533-position model. The record is from RNAcentral. Lineage: Bacteria; Pseudomonadati; Pseudomonadota; Gammaproteobacteria; Oceanospirillales; Halomonadaceae.
CCUACGCGCGGCAGCAGUGGGGAAUAUUGGACAAUGGGCGAAAGCCUGAUCCAGCCAUGCCGCGUGUGUGAAGAAGGCCUUCGGGGUGUAAAGCACUUUCAGUGGGGAAGAAAGCCUUGGGGCUAAUACCCUCGAGGAAGGACAUCACCCACAGAAGAAGCACCGGCUAACUCCGUGCCAGCAGCCGCGGUAAUACGGAGGGUGCGAGCGUUAAUCGGAAUUACUGGGCGUAAAGCGCGCGUAGGCGGUCUGAUAAGCCGGUUGUGAAAGCCCCGGGCUCAACCUGGGAACGGCAUCCGGAACUGUCAGGCUAGAGUGCAGGAGAGGAAGGUAGAAUUCCCGGUGUAGCGGUGAAAUGCGUAGAGAUCGGGAGGAAUACCAGUGGCGAAGGCGGCCUUCUGGACUGACACUGACGCUGAGGUGCGAAAGCGUGGGUAGCAAACAGGAUUAGAUACCCUAGUAGUC